This 517-nucleotide ribosomal RNA is filed under the name uncultured bacterium. Its description in RNAcentral is "partial 16S ribosomal RNA". It matches the Rfam family "Bacterial small subunit ribosomal RNA", at positions 355 to 857 of the family's 1533-position model. The record is from RNAcentral.
UGGGGAAUAUUGCACAAUGGGCGCAAGCCUGAUGCAGCCAUGCCGCGUGUGUGAAGAAGGCCUUCGGGUUGUAAAGCACUUUCAGCGAGGAGGAAGGUGGUGAACUUAAUACGUUCAUCAAUUGACGUUACUCGCAGAAGAAGCACCGGCUAACUCCGUGCCAGCAGCCGCGGUAAUACGGAGGGUGCAAGCGUUAAUCGGAAUUACUGGGCGUAAAGCGCACGCAGGCGGUUUGUUAAGUCAGAUGUGAAAUCCCCGGGCUCAACCUGGGAACUGCAUUUGAAACUGGCAAGCUAGAGUCUCGUAGAGGGGGGUAGAAUUCCAGGUGUAGCGGUGAAAUGCGUAGAGAUCUGGAGGAAUACCGGUGGCGAAGGCGGCCCCCCUGGACGAAGACUGACGCUCAGGUGCGAAAGCGUGGGGGCAGCAAAACAGGAUUAGAUACCCCUGGUAGUCCACGCUGUAAACGAUGUCGAUUUUGGAGGUUGUGCCCCUUGAGGCGUGGCUUCCGGAGCUAACG